CCUACGGGAGGCAGCAGUGGGGAAUAUUGGUCAAUGGAGGACACUCUGAACCAGCACCGCCGCGUGAAUGAUGAAGGUCUUCGGAUUGUAAAGUUCUUUUCUAAGGGAAGAAGCAAGUGACGGUACCUUAGGAAUAAGCCUCGGCUAACUACGUGACAGCAGCCGCGUUAAUACGUAGGAGGCGAGCAUUAUCCGGAAGGACUGGGCGUAAAGGGUGCGUAGGUGGUUUGACAAGUUGGUAGCGUAACUCCGAGGCUCAACCUCGGCACUACUACCAAAACUGUCGGACUUGAGUGCAGGAGGGGGAAUUGGAAUUCGUAGUGUAGCGGUGGAAUGCGCAGAUAUUAGGAGGAACACCGGUGGCGAAGGCGAAUUGCUGGACUGUAACUGACACUGAGGCACGAAAGCGUGGGGAGCAAACAGGAUUAGAUACCCUUGUAGUC
This 443-nucleotide ribosomal RNA is filed under the name uncultured bacterium. RNAcentral's name for it is "partial 16S ribosomal RNA". It matches the Rfam family "Bacterial small subunit ribosomal RNA", at positions 338 to 795 of the family's 1533-position model. The record is from RNAcentral.